UGCCCCUAUUGAAAUGCAGACCGAAAAAGCAAAGAGUUUUCUAUAAUUUAUUUUAUAGAUUUUAUGGCAGCAAUACAAAGCCUAAACAAUUGGUUACACAUUAAUAUAUAGUAUUCUCAGGUCCCUUUGUUCAUGGUCCCCCAUUUUCCAUUUCCAGCUUAAAUUGCCAUAACAAUUGCAAUUAUUGGCAAUUUCAUGGGCACUUGGGGACAGCCUACAGCCCUACGACCGUCUGGUAUGGUCUGUAAUCGAGGCCAUGCGCGAAAAAAGGGAGCGGACCAAAGAGAGGAAGAGCUGGUGAGAUAAGCUCGCUUGAGAGAGUGCGAGUGUAACGACUCAUGGCUCGCCUACGUCACAAAUGUAGUGUUUGAGUUUGUUUUGACUCUUGCUUCGCGUUGAUAAUGCAAAAUAAACGAUAAAUAGCAACUCGGA
Drosophila persimilis is the source of this 432-nucleotide long non-coding RNA. RefSeq lists it as uncharacterized. The record is from RefSeq and is a predicted model, not a curated record. The transcript is spliced from 2 exons. NCBI's taxonomy places the organism in Eukaryota, Metazoa, Arthropoda, Insecta, Diptera, Drosophilidae.